RNAcentral lists this ribosomal RNA (156 nucleotides) under Uromyces scutellatus. Its description in RNAcentral is "5.8S ribosomal RNA". It matches the Rfam family "5.8S ribosomal RNA". From Rfam's summary of the family: 5.8S ribosomal RNA (5.8S rRNA) is a component of the large subunit of the eukaryotic ribosome. It is transcribed by RNA polymerase I as part of the 45S precursor that also contains 18S and 28S rRNA. The record is from RNAcentral. RNAcentral also lists the same sequence under 2 other names. Lineage: Eukaryota; Fungi; Basidiomycota; Pucciniomycetes; Pucciniales; Pucciniaceae.
AACUUUUAACAAUGGAUCUCUAGGCUCUCAUAUCGAUGAAGAACACAGUGAAAUGUGAUAAGUAAUGUGAAUUGCAGAAUUCAGUGAAUCAUUGAAUCUUUGAACGCACCUUGCACCUUUUGGUAUUCCAAAAGGUACACCUGUUUGAGUGUCAUG